CUGCGAAUUUUAAUCCCUACAUUUUUAAAUAUAUAUUUGUACUUUCUACUCUUUAACAUUUUCAACACAGUUACUUUUGCUUUAACGCAUUUGGGUGAAGUUAUUAUUUCCCCACUGUGAGCCUCUGAAAAGAAAAAGGGUUUUGAUCCUAAACAGUAACACAUGAAUGGCAGUCCUGUUUGUGUAUUGAUCACCAGAGGUUGUAAAAGUGAUGACGUGUGACGAGUGUUGGCUGUUCAGUUUUUGUUUUUGCCACAACACCAGGAGACUGUAGGUGUCUGUAAGUUGCGGUUUCAGUACUUUAACAUCUGGCUAUACUGAAGAGGAGCAAGCAUAAAGGGAGUGACUUUUUUGAAGUGUCAGGUAAUUUCGAAUUCAACGUUUCUAUCUGUUCAACAAACAUCAGCAAACACACAAACUAUUUGUAUGCAGUGUUUGGCACAGUGUGUUACUAGCUAAAGGUUCAGCUGCCCUGAGUGAAGGAAGAGAGCUAACUUCACUCAGAGAUGGAGAAAGAUAAGAAAGACAGGACAGGAGAGGAAGGAAAGAGGUCAGAUUUAAAGGUCGGGGUCAUCAUCAUCAUCAUCAUCAUCAUCUGUCACGGCUAUGUAUGCAGCAACAGUGGAAACAAUUAUACGGUUAAUCAUGAGUUUUAGACAUGGCAGGAUACAUGUUACAAAGACACAAAAUAAAAGUAAAAAUACAAAUAGGAAUAAAUAAGAAUACAAAGGAAUUGCAAGUAUUUCAAGUAUUGAAGUCUAUUGCACCGUUGGUUUUUAACAAAAAGUAUUGCACAGUGAAAAGGCAGUAGUAGUCUUUUAGCAGCUGUAGCCAGGAGCCAGUGUAAAGCCAAGAAAACCAGUCACAUGUAUUACUUACAUAGUCCUGAUUUUGGGCCUGCUGGAUCUGUUUCAAGGCGUUCAGGGCAUCAGUCAUGUUUGAUGAGUGUACAUUGUCUGGUGUGUGUGUAGAUGUGUAUGUUGGUGUGUUUAUCACUUUCCUGUUCUGGUGUUUUGGGUAAACCAUGGCCUGAAGCGUGCCCUGGGGUCCUGCCCUCCUCCUUUUCAGUCCGGUUGCGACCAUUGCUGCUGCUCAAAGUUCAGUCUGUCCUGGUCCUGGCCCCAAUUGGGGCAGGCCUUUCUCCAGUGUCCAUGCUCACCGCAGGUGAAACCUGCAUCUUCUUGUGCUUCUGUCCAUUCUGAGGUGCCUUUUGACCUCAGUUGCUCCUUCUGUCUCUGGCACGCCCCUUUUGCUGCCCGAUCAUCCGUGUUGGUCCGUCACUGUCCUGCACAGUGUUAAUGCAGAGUUAUCAAGGUCAGCAUUCUUUUGCUCGGCCUCACAAUAUUCGGGCUUGGCGGGCGUCUCGUCACAGCUCUGUCAGCUGAAGCCGUCUGGAAAUUUCCCCCGUGUAGUGAAACGGGCCUUGGAUUUAACGCUGUCCAUCUCUGCUGCAUGAGAUCGCUUUCCUGUAGCACUGUUGACAUUUUUAGAUUGUUGUUAUGGGUCCAGCUGCUGCAGCAUUUGGUCAGGGUCACGUCAAAGAUGGUAGAGGGGAGAGCAGGAGUCCAGGUCAGCCUCGGCUUUCAGGACCGGCAAAGCAGCCUGUAAUUAAACAUAAAAAGAAAAAACAAAAACAGACGAACAGGAAAAUGAUGUUUUGGCUGUGUUAUUCAGAGAGGGGAGAAACACUGGGCCAGGCCCUGUGUCAGCCUCCCCCCCCCACCACCAUAUAAUCAACUCAUAACCCACCAAGCUGACAGGACAACACAGGUAGAUAUUAAAAUUUGUAAGAUCACGUUUAAAAGCACAAAAAAGGAAUUUUCCUUCCUUCAGUAAUCACUUGUAUGAUUCAAUCAGCAGAAAACCUCUCACAAUUUGACGCUUAACCACUAAAUUUGUUGUUUCAUCACUGGUUGUCAUACCAGUCUCGUUCUUUUUGAAGUUGUUGUCCUGCAACCCAGAGUUUAUUUAGUAGUGGAUAAACUUCAGCAUUUGAUAACUAUUAAGUUUUCCCUGUUUUAACACUAAUGAGAGAUAUAGGCGCAUGUAUAGUGUGUGCUGUAGUGUAAGCUGUUCUUCAUUGCAUGUAUGUAUGUGUGUUAGUAGCUUGCAUGCAAGGCCUCUGGGACUGUCUCACCCAAAAGAGCAUUUUCUUAACAGUUGCCUUUCUCUCGCGUGUGUUAAGACAGACAAAUGUGCUUGUAGCAGUUGUGAGAUUAUUAUGCUGUUAUAUAUUACAUUAUACCUAUAAUCAAAAUGAGUGAAUCAUGAUACUGCUGUAGGCCACAUCAUACUUCUGAGUUAAAAGAAUGUGAAAAUCAUUAGAUUAGAUAGGUUUGUAUUAUCCUAUGCUGCUGAUUUAUUGUGAGUGAGUUACACUGUUUCAUGACAUUUCAUACUGCCGAGUUAUGAAGAGAAUAUUGUAUUCAGAGAGUAGGGGCCUUUUUUUUUUUUCUUCCCUCCUUGUGAUAGUAAAAAGAACAGAGCACAUGCCACGGGAGCGUUACCCCUACCUUUGGUGGAAGCAGAAAAACAGGGAGCCAAAGUCAUAACUCAGGCUCACUAAGAGUUAGAAAGAAUAUGAAUGCUUAGUUUGUGGCUGUGGCGCAUUUUGUAUGGCUUCUUUUCUUUGUUUAGUAGCUUUUUGCCUUCACCUGAGAGGGUGUGCCCUAAGCAUGUGACUUCAGGUCUCCAUAAUUGGAGUUUAUUUAAAGAUAAAUAAGAUGAUUUCAUUUAUUGCUCGCAGAUCAUGCACUAGACGGUAUAUUGCAGUAUUAGCCUGCUUCAACACUUAAGCAAAACAUCACUUUGUUUUAUUAUUAUUAUUAUUAUUAUAAAUUCUCCUUUCUCGAAAACAGAAAAUGAAAUUGUAGUCGUUCUUGGUUGAGAAACACAAAAUUAUCAUCAUCAAGGACGCAUGGUGAGAGCUACUUCAGAAGCUACAGUACUCAUCACUCAAGCAACAUUUCAAAAAACAAAAGAAACAAAAAAACAAAACUCAGCACACUACACAGAGAACAACAACAAGACAUAACUGAAGGUGUUAUUCUUGUUUGUUCUCCUGGAAAUUUAGAAUAAAGUUAUUACAUCUGCAUUAGUAAAUCAUAUGCCUAAUCAUUAUGUGCCACUGUGAUCCACAAGUAUGAUCACAGAUUUAUUCAUUUUUCAAACCAACAAAACAAAACCAAGUUACUGAUGGCUUGAACGCUUUACACACAUAAGUCAGGAUGCAAAAAGGCUACUGCCAAAAACAAAUCAGAAGUGUGAGGGGGGAAAAAACAAAACAAAAAACUGAGCCCACAGACAGCUUCAUGUUUGAGCUUUAAUAGCUGUUUCCCUCCCUCUGAUGUGUUCUUAUGCAGCUCCUGCUCUUAAAAAAAAAAAAAAAAAAAAAAAAAAAAAGUGUAACCUGCUCAUCAGCUUAGCAAUGACCAUAUAUUUAAUUCAGCUUCUCAAUUGUGUAGCUUUAGCUGUUGUAUACAGGGUUUUUAGUUGUUAGCAUAGGUUUGCUCUAGGGCCGUUUAUCAAUGCCCAAGUACACGAGUACGUACCCGCCGAGAACGCGAGCACGGACUCGCGAUAUGUACAAUUGGAACACCUGCGUACGUGAUGAUGUCACAGGUCCGGAGUUUUUACUGCCGUCCCCUCUUAAUUUAACUGUGAGUAACAUGUUAUGAAGCUUAACUGUAAUCACAGCCAAACCGGUUUACUCAGGAACAAAUAAAACACUGAAAUAAACCAAACAUUAACAUUUAGAAGUGAUCUAAGUGACUUAUAUAUCAUUUUUAACCUCAGUAGUGAAACCUCUAAUAAAAAUAGUGUACAUGUACAUACGUGUACAUACCUUAAUAAAAACAAGCAGGUGAGAUGUUAGAACGCUUUUAUUUCUAUUCUAGUGGACACUCAAUACUAUAGACAGCUGCUGGAGUUUCUUUAACCUGAGUAGUGAGAAGUCCGCGCGGGGGUACGGUGGCCCUGAAGUGCAAACCACAAAAACAAAUCACAAAACGCACAACAAAUUGAAAAGCGCAACAACAAAUUGAAAAGCGCAAAAACAAAUUGAAAAGCGCAAAAACAAAUUCACUAAACGCAAAAACAAAUUGAAAAGCGCAAAAACAAAUUCACUAAACGCACAACAAAUUGAAAAGCGCAAAAACAAAUUGAAAAGCGCAAAAACAAAUUGAAAAGCGCAAAAACAAAUUCACUAAACGCAAAAACAAAUUGAAAAGCGCAAAAACAAAUUCACUAAACGCAAAAACAAAUUGAAAAGCGCAAAAACAAAUCACAAACCGCACAACAAAUUGAAAAGCGCAAAAACAAAUUGAAAAGCGCAAAAACAAAUUCACUAAACGCAAAAACAAAUUGAAAAGCGCAUAAACAAAUUCACUAAACGCAAAAACAAAUUGAAAAACGCAAAACAAAUUGAAAAGCGCAACAACAAAUUGAAAAGCGCAAAAACAAAUUGAAAAGCGCAAAAACAAAUUCACUAAACGCAAAAACAAAUUGAAAAGCGCAACAACAAAUUCACUAAACGCAAAAACAAAUUGAAAAGCGCAAAACAAAUUGAAAAGCGCAAAAACAAAUUCACUAAACGCAAAAACAAAUUGAAAAGCGCAAAAACAAAUUCACUAAACGCAAAAACAAAUUGAAAAACGCAAAACAAAUUGAAAAGCGCAACAACAAAUUGAAAAGCGCAAAAACAAAUUGAAAAGCGCAAAAACAAAUUCACUAAACGCAAAAACAAAUUGAAAAGCGCAACAACAAAUUCACUAAACGCAAAAACAAAUUGAAAAGCGCAAAACAAAUUGAAAAGCGCAAAAACAAAUUGAAAAGCGCAACAACAAAUUGAAAAGCGCAAAAACAAAUUGAGAAGCACAAUUACAUUAAGAAAACCGGAAAGGGUAGGUACCAGUCGGCAACAGGAGACAUCACUGAUUGGAUGUCCGCGCUGUUCGUCUUUGGAACCGGAAGUUACUCUGCCUGUAGCGCAUUUCGUUUGAAGAAGAACGGCGGAAUGUUUUGUCCUAGCUAUGGGAAAAAGCUGGUUGAGGAGUCACCAAACUUUUGCAGCGGCUGUGGCGAGAGGCUUUAUCACGCAUCUUGCAUCGGAGACACUUCACUCCCAUUGAAUAAAUGUCGGCUUGAUGACCAUUAAAAAGGGUGGUUUGAAGCCAUACCGUGGAAAAACUAUUUUCCUAACAACAGACCCUGACGCUACUGCCACAAGUCUGCUCAAUCAAGCUGUUAAAAAAAUGAAGGACUUUAACAAAGAUCUAAAAGAUGGACCUUUCCUUCUUCUGUAUCCGGAUGGCACUGAGGUCAUUACUGUCCCUGGAACACAAAGACCAUUUACACUUGAGGCUUAUAAGGCUGAAGUUGGCAAGCCUUAUCAAAGAAUCACUGUUUUCAUCUGCUUGAAGAGUGACUUUGAAGAUGUUGGAGAAAACUCAGACUUGUCUGACUCUGACCCAGAGAUUGUUAUUAAAAGGCCCUCUGAGUUUGAUCUUGCUGAUACACUGCCAUGGGAACUUCAACAUGAAAGCAGUCCUUUACAGAAAGCGGCAGAAUAUGAGAAGGGUGCUGGGGAUCUUGUGCUUGCUAAUGAAGUACAACAGAGACACCAAUUUGCAGGCACAUGGAAUUAUUGCAAAUUUGGCACUGGAACUUGACCACAAGAAGGUCAGCAGGUUCAAUAUAUCAAGGUCAGCUGUAUGGGAUGGAGCUGUUAGAGGAUUUCGACGCAGCACAUACUCUGACAACUACGACAUGUUCAUCAAGUUUAAUGAUGAUGCUGGCAGCUUUGAAGAAGGUUUGGAUACAGGUGGCCCGAGGCGUAAAUUCCUCACACUUCUUAUGGGCAGU
This is a long non-coding RNA of Oreochromis aureus, 5862 nucleotides long. The record is from Ensembl. NCBI's taxonomy places the organism in Eukaryota, Metazoa, Chordata, Actinopteri, Cichliformes, Cichlidae.